GUAAAGCACUUUCAGUUGUGAGGAAGGUGGUGUCGUUAAUAGCGGCAUCAUUUGACGUUAGCAACAGAAGAAAGCACCGGCUAACUCCGUGCCAGCAGCCGCGGUAAUACGGAGGUGCGAGCGUUAAUCGGAAUUACUGGGCGUAAAGCGCAUGCAGGUGGUUUGUUAAGUCAGAUGUGAAAGACCCGGGGCUCAACCUCGGAAUUGCAUUUGAAACUAGGCAGACUAGAGUACUGUAGAGGGGGGUAGGAAUUUCAGGUGUAGCGGUGAAAUGCGUAGAGAUCUGAAGGAAUACCGGUGGCGAAGGCGGCCCCCUCGGACAGAUACUGACACUCAGAUGCGAAAGCGUGGGGAGCAAACAGGUUUAGAUACCCUGGUAG
Molecule: ribosomal RNA, 380 nt
Filed under: uncultured bacterium
Lineage: Bacteria
Description: bacterial SSU rRNA
Rfam family: Bacterial small subunit ribosomal RNA
Source: RNAcentral